UACGAAGGGUGCAAACGUUGCUCGGAAUUACUGGGCGUAAAGGGCGCGUAGGCGGCCUUCUAAGUCGGACGUGAAAGCCCCAGGCUUAACCUGGGAACUGCGUCCGAUACUGGGAGGCUUGGAUUCGGGAGAGGGAUGUGGAAUUCCAGGUGCAGCGGUGAAAUGCGUAGAUAUCUGGAGGAACACCGGUGGCGAAGGCGGCAUCCUGGACCGAGAUCGACGCUGAGGCGCGAAAGCUAGGGGAGCAAACGGG
RNAcentral lists this ribosomal RNA (253 nucleotides) under uncultured bacterium. RNAcentral's name for it is "partial 16S ribosomal RNA". It matches the Rfam family "Bacterial small subunit ribosomal RNA", at positions 524 to 776 of the family's 1533-position model. The record is from RNAcentral.